GGAGGGUAUAGCUCAGUGGUAGAGUGCAUGCUUAGCAUGCAUGAGGUCCUGGGUUCAAUCCCCAGUGCCUCCA
RNAcentral lists this transfer RNA (73 nucleotides) under Vicugna pacos (alpaca). RNAcentral's name for it is "tRNA-Ala (AGC) (tRNA-Ala-AGC-52-1)". It matches the Rfam family "tRNA". From Rfam's summary of the family: Transfer RNA (tRNA) molecules are approximately 80 nucleotides in length. Their secondary structure includes four short double-helical elements and three loops (D, anti-codon, and T loops). Lineage: Eukaryota; Metazoa; Chordata; Mammalia; Artiodactyla; Camelidae. The record is from RNAcentral.